CAUUGUACUGAUAUUUAUGAAUUGUUAUAGGCUUUAGAUAUCGUAAAGCAUUCAAGAAAUCUCCUGGGCGAAGAUAAAAGGAAAUCAGGAAGUAUAAAAGAUAAAACCUCUCGAAGAGGAUCUAGGGAAUCUUUAGACAUGUCUUUUGAAGCUGAUGAGAAAGCUUCACACAGAAAAUGUUGAGCUAUGAAUUUUAUAAGAAACUUGUAAGGAUUUGUCAGAUGAAUGUGAUUGGUUUUUGGAUGGAGAUGUCGGUGUAUCUUAUAUGACUGUUAAAACAUCAACAAGACCCAUUGACUGUCCUAUAGUUAAAUCAUACAUUCCUGAAAGAUAAUUGUAGUUUGACUUCAUCAAGAUUUCGUAAUACUUUCUGAAGUCACUGAACUAGCUUAUUGAUAAUGAACACUGAUGAAAUAUUUGUAUUUAUAAUGAAUGUGGUAUUGUUUUUUAAAAUUAACAUAUAUACUUAAAAUAGAAAGGUAAUCAAAAAUGUUACAGUGCUUCAUGACAUACCUAUUGAAUAUAGAUAUAGAUAUAACUUUAAUUAUCUCCCACUUUUUGUUUCAAUUUGCACAAAUAACAGCUUGACACACUCUUUAAGAAAUGUUUCAAAAAAACAUUUAUAGACAUUCAAGAUUAAGGGAAAGAGAAUUGUAUUUGGGAAAAUAAUUGCUUUAAUAAAUUAUUAUGAAUUA
Leptinotarsa decemlineata (Colorado potato beetle) is the source of this 695-nucleotide long non-coding RNA. NCBI's taxonomy places the organism in Eukaryota, Metazoa, Arthropoda, Insecta, Coleoptera, Chrysomelidae. The record is from RefSeq and is a predicted model, not a curated record.